AGAUGCUUUUCAGUGAUAGCUCCAGUGUUUAUUAUUUCAUACAACAUGGCCAGCGUUUUGGAAGACAAUAUCUUUGCAGAAAGGUAUUGUCUAACAGAAAAGGGUAAUGAGUGGAUCCAAACUGAUAAACGGCUUUGCCAUUGUGUAGUACGAUGAAAUAGUUCCCAGAAUAUGCUGCCCAAUAAACAUCUUUCUGCAAUGAAUAGUAGCAAGCAGAUCAUGUUAAAAAGCUGCGGUGAACUGCCACCAGUCUCUUGGAUCGCUUCAUUUGGAAAUAAGAGAAAUGUUUACAUUCUGCACAUGUAAAGACACAAAGCAAGGACUGCACUCAAAAAGUCUCUCUACGAAUAAUACGUUGCUGCUGUUUGAUUCCUGCUAUAAUCAGGGAAAGUAAAUCAGAAUGCAUGAUGGAUGCCUAGUUUCAGCAUGAAUUUCACUUCCUACCAGACAGCACUUCAGCUAACUCUUCAGAUCAGCAUUGAUCCUUUGAGUCCUGGAAGAAAAUAACGUAAAGUGCAAGGAAAAUAUUUUUCUUUCAUCCAAACUACUUAUAAAUUCUAUUUGUUCUUGGACUUAGACCCAAAUCCAAACCUUCUGCACUGCC
This 604-nucleotide long non-coding RNA is filed under the name Gallus gallus (chicken). Its description in RNAcentral is "lncRNA (ENSGALG00010002272.1)". Lineage: Eukaryota; Metazoa; Chordata; Aves; Galliformes; Phasianidae. The record is from RNAcentral.